AUGGGCCCAGAGUCCUGCUCCCGAGUGCCGCCCAGGGCAGGCCUGGUUGCCCCAGAGCCUCUGGCAUGGCCUACAGUGUCCCUGGGCCUCCCAGGUCCACACAGGGCCCCUGAUCCCCCCCACACACCAUUUCCCCCCUUCUGCCCAGGUCUUAGCACCUUGCUGGGAGCCAAGAAGCCCUGUCCUCUCACUCCUGAGUGCUGGCCCUUGCUCAGUGCACAUGAAGCUGCCCUGGUGACACAGGUGCCCCGAGGCUGGCUCUGGCUAGAAGGAAAGGUUGUCAGCAACUCCUUCCCAUCAGCAACGAGCCAGAGCCAGAGGGUGAGGCCGGUGUGGAGAGCAGGCGGUGAGAAGCCGACUGGGGCGGGGCCUCGUUGGCCCCAGGGCACGGCUCUUCAGUGUCAGCACUGGACAGGGGAGGGAGAGGUUUCAAGUGACAGCAGUCGCUUGCAUUCUAGGUAUUCGAUCAGAAGGAAUUCUUCCCCAGAAGGAAAAAACCACAGGAGCCAAAGAACCCACCGAGGAGUCACACUCAGGCCCUGUCCGAUGAGGAGAGCAGGUGGCCGAGCUCCUGGAGGGCCAGGCUGCAAAGCCACUGCCUUGCCGCUCAGCAGAGUCAGCCUGGAGUCACGCUGGUCUCCGGGCAGCCAAGCCUCACUGCACUCUGGGCUCUCCUCCAUCAGCUUUACUUACAGAGCGGAGUUCACAGCAGCACCCCCGCAAGAUGCACGUCUGGAGGACUUCCUCUUGAGACCCAGCACCAUCUACUCCAGUGUCAGGACCACAGCAGUGACGUGCUCAGGACCACAGGGAGUGAGAUGCCGACCUGAUGUGCUGGUGAACCUGAGUCUGGGCUCCAGAACCAAGAUUCCAUCCACCCUGCCCUGCUGCUGCCCAGCACAUGUAUAACCUCAGUCUUCUUCUCCACAAAAUGGGCACACUAAUUGUUUCUUCCUUCUCCUCACCAGAGGAGUGGAAAAAGUACAGGGUGAGACUGGAAAGUUGUGGGGAGCUGGAGACUGUUGGAUACAUGCCAGGAUGGCAGACAAAACCUAAGGCACAGGGAGGCCUUACCACGUGGCGGGCCACCUCCCUCCUAGUCCCCAGUGCCUGAGUCCACAGCGCCCCCUGCUGGCGAGCUAUACAGAAGCUCCCUGUGGGCGCACCCGCAGCACACUGCUUUACCCCGCUGUCGCUGAGAAGGAGUCCAUGUUCUCAGGCUGAGCAGGCAGAGGGUGAACGGUGCCCAGGCAUCAGGAAACCUAGACCUGGGAGGGGGAGCAGGGCUUCACCUCAGAAGGGCAUUCCCUAGACUAAGAGUGCACCGUGCUUCUGGGCCCCCUGAAAUCUUGGCGGAGGCUAGCGAUCUCCAAACCCAGAAGCCACCCUGUGUCUUUGGAGGCUGCAUGGUCAAUGAGAAGCAGGGCAAACCUUGGGACACCAGGCUGGCCCCUUUGCCCCUCGUGUUCCCUUUACCCACCCAUGGGCAGUGGCUUUGUUACUGCCUCGGUCUCCUUGGCCUGAAUCUGUGUUGAGUGCUACAGAUUCAGGGGGACCAAGUCCUUCCUGUGCCAACCCCCCGAGGCCUCAGACAUGCCACUGUCUUCCCCAUCGGCUCCCACCCCCCUUCUAUCUGGAGUCUGCUAAGGAGGCAGCCACGGUGAACAUGUGCAGCACAGGAGAACAUUCAGCCCGAUCCCUGGGAACCCCCCAUGAACCUCAGUCUGUGCCUAUGUAGGGCUGGGGCUCCAGGACGCCUCCUCCAGGAAGCCUUCCUUGAGGUACUCUGCCUCUGCUCUUUCCUGACUCCAGGCUUUUGCAGGAUCUGCCGGCAGGCGCUGCUUUGUGCCGCACAUAUUUAUCUUAUCUAUCCCCAUAGAAGCUCCAGGCCUCCCGAGGGAAGGUUUAUGUCACUUGCUCACCAGGAGGCAGAUGUCUGUGCUUCUUUACAUCUUCAUAAAUCUGCCCUUGGGAGCCACUGACAAUGUCUGAAAGUAAUUUUGAUGGGAUGGGGAAGUGGGUAACACUAGGAUCUAGUGGGUGGAUGUUAGGGAUCUGUAAUAGCCCUAACACAGCCCAGAACAGCCUCCUGCCCCCAGCCCAAGAUUAUCCAGUCUUAAAUGUCGAUGUGCCCAGGGUGAGAAACCCUGAUUUAAAUGAAUGCGUGGAUUAGGUAUUAAUAUUGUGAUGAGCAGCAAUGGCUGCUAUAGGAGAGUUGCUCGUUCUAUUGAGGGGGAGGCCAAGUACCAGCAGGUGGACACUGGUUUCUCUUUCCUGCCUCCUAUGCAGUCCCAGGAGCCUUGCACACCUUUUCUGGGCUGGAGGAGGGGCCAGGGCCUGUGUGGAGUCCAGGGUGAAGGGGGCCUCUGUGCGGACCCUUUGGGAGCAGCGGGUGCCUUGGCUGGUGUGUGUGAUGAGGCUGGAGAAGCUUCUUUCAGUCCCGAUGGUCGCAGAGUUCUCUGACAUGCAUGGGCAUUUCUCCUCUGCUGAUGGCAGGACCCUUGGCAGGGCUGAGGGUGGAGCCCUGACUUCCACCCGCUUUGCCAGAUAUGGGGGGGGGGUCACUGUGGCCGUAACUGCCCUCCCUGGGAAAGGCUGGAAGAACAAGAAGGCUUUGACAGGCUCCAUCAAAG
Molecule: long non-coding RNA, 2633 nt
Filed under: Cavia porcellus (domestic guinea pig)
Lineage: Eukaryota; Metazoa; Chordata; Mammalia; Rodentia; Caviidae
Description: lncRNA (ENSCPOG00000030413.1)
Source: RNAcentral